AACUUUUUAGUAUAUUAAGUACCUCCUCCUUCCAAGUGGAAAGUCUAAAUAAAUUUAGAGAAGUUA
Molecule: transfer RNA, 66 nt
Filed under: Panulirus penicillatus
Lineage: Eukaryota; Metazoa; Arthropoda; Malacostraca; Decapoda; Palinuridae
Description: tRNA-Gly
Source: RNAcentral